Molecule: long non-coding RNA, 1357 nt
Filed under: Equus caballus (horse)
Lineage: Eukaryota; Metazoa; Chordata; Mammalia; Perissodactyla; Equidae
Description: lncRNA (ENSECAG00000044185.1)
Source: RNAcentral
UGCAGAUUCAAGAUAAAAUUCAUUCGGAAAGGCGACGCUCCUACGUGUUCAAAUUCACGGAGAUGUGUGCCUUCCCUCCAAAGUCAAACAUACACUAUGAUAAUUUUAAAAUCAUCAAAAAAGGAAAAACACAAACAGAUAAAAUUAAACAAAAUUUCUUUCUGUCAAAAAAAGCAAAAUAAACAAAUAAUAAAUUGAGAAAAAUUAUUUGCAAAUCCCACUAGACCGAUGCCCAUCUGAAAAUGGGCCAAGAGCACGUAGGAAGCUGGAGCUUGGAGAUCGCACGAGCCCCAGCGCCCCCUGGUGGCCGUCUCAGGCAUUGCCGGCAACACAGGUGUCCCCACCUGGGCAUCCCAGCCGCCAUGCAGCGGCUCCCGCAAACCACCGUGGUGCCAGGUGAGUCUGGCCGGGAUGCACCCCUGCUGGUGGAAUCCCACCCGCUAUAGAAAAGGGUGAGGGAUGAGCACGUGUACUGGGGUUAGUUUUCUAUGCUGCAUAACAAACUACCACCACGUAGCCGCUGAAAACACGCAGGCGUCCAGCACAGCGAGCUGGGGUCCUGGCUCAGGAGCCGUCCCAUCAGGGCUCCGGUUGGUGGCAGAAUUUGGCUUCUUGCGGAGAGAGGACUGAGGUCCCGCUCUUUUGCUACUUUGUGGCCUUCACAACCCCUGCUCCCUCAAGGCCUGUGGAGCGCCUCUGUAACUCUCCUUGGUCACAGUCCUGCCACACACAUGGAGAAAUCCUGGGCACAUCUUCCAGGGGCGGGAAUCCAGGGCCACCCUAAAAUCCUGGGGAGGCGGUGAACAAAUGACCCCAUCACAGGUAGCAGUCCCGAGGGAGGGCUGGGCCAGGGCUGGCCGCCACAGGCAGCAUCACAGCUCCGAAGCUGGGCCACCAGCAAAGCCACAAAACCCAUCACCUCCUGAUCCAGACUCACAUAACGUAACCCCAGUUGUAAAACUCCACAAACGCACUGCCCAGAGCGUUCCAGCACUGCAGGGGGCAGUACCUCCCCUCUCCCCCGUCGGGGGUUGCGGUGGCUCAGAGCAGACUCUGGAGAGCAAGCAGAGCCCCUCUGAAUGCUUCUCCAGGUGCGGGGCUCAAGCCUCACCAGGUGGCACAGCUCGCCUGGCUGCUGGGGGCAGGGCCAUCCCUCAUGAACACCCACAGCACGUAGCCAAGUGCCACCAGUGGGAGGCCAGAGGAACAGCUUACUCUAGGCAAUACAGCAGAGCCGCAUGGGUCGGAGGAGGGCAUUACAGAAAGUGUCACGGGGUCCUAAAGCCUGGGUCCCCUACUGGAGGCCUUCGUUGAGCACAUUCACUCCCUCACCAGCCAGGUACUGCAGCAGGCCCUG